Molecule: ribosomal RNA, 618 nt
Filed under: uncultured bacterium
Lineage: Bacteria
Description: bacterial SSU rRNA
Rfam family: Bacterial small subunit ribosomal RNA
Source: RNAcentral
ACGAACGCUGGCGGCGUGCUUAACACAUGCAAGUCGAACGAUGAACCACUUCGGUGGGGAUUAGUGGCGAACGGGUGAGUAACACGUGGGCAAUCUGCCCUUCACUCUGGGACAAGCCCUGGAAACGGGGUCUAAUACCGGAUAUGAGCCUGGGAGGCAUCUCCCGGGUUGUAAAGCUCCGGCGGUGAAGGAUGAGCCCGCGGCCUAUCAGCUUGUUGGUGAGGUAACGGCUCACCAAGGCGACGACGGGUAGCCGGCCUGAGAGGGCGACCGGCCACACUGGGACUGAGACACGGCCCAGACUCCUACGGGAGGCAGCAGUGGGGAAUAUUGCACAAUGGGCGCAAGCCUGAUGCAGCGACGCCGCGUGAGGGAUGACGGCCUUCGGGUUGUAAACCUCUUUCAGCAGGGAAGAAGCGCAAGUGACGGUACCUGCAGAAGAAGCGCCGGCUAACUACGUGCCAGCAGCCGCGGUAAUACGUAGGGCGCAAGCGUUGUCCGGAAUUAUUGGGCGUAAAAGAGCUCGUAUGCGGCUUGUCACGUCGGGUGUGAAAGCCCGGGGGCUUAACCCCGGGUCUGCAUUCCGAUACUGGCUGGUUAGAGUGUGUAGGGGACAUC